This 1224-nucleotide long non-coding RNA is filed under the name Oncorhynchus mykiss (rainbow trout). RNAcentral describes it as "lncRNA (ENSOMYG00000071857.1)". The record is from RNAcentral. Lineage: Eukaryota; Metazoa; Chordata; Actinopteri; Salmoniformes; Salmonidae.
AAUGAAUAAAAUAUCAGUAGCCUAAAUAUCAGUAAGCAUGCUUGUGAAUAGUGAAAAUCAACAAAAAGCAAUAAUGGCAUUACAAUUAAUAUAAGUGUCGAUAUGAUGGCGGUCAAAAAUUGUAUAUUAUUGUCAGUUAUUGGACACAUUAUUUGUGGUCUCGCUCGUGCUUGCAGUAUGGUGUGCUUUUUCACACAAUAAUUGAUUUCAUUAUUCUGUUAUCCCUUGUCCUAACAGUCACCACAAAUCUUUGUCACUUUCACUUGAUUUCAACACUUCCAACAAACAAGACACUUGCAGCUGAAACAGGUGUCCGGUUUCUGUUGGAUUGCAUCUGCCCACCCGUGUGCCAGACUCAUGAUGAAGUUUCUUCUGCUCAUGGGUGUUGUUCAUGCACUGCUUGAAAAACGCAUGCGUUGAUAGCAGCCAAGUCAAGCAUGUUGUAGAACACAGCAACAGGCCAGCCGGGAGUUCCUCAUUUCACCUAGCACAGCCAUUAUCCGACACUCGCUCACCUGCUGUCCGAUAUGGAUCCUUUCCCAGAUAUGAUCCUCUGGCCCGCCACAUGAAAUCAUCUUUGUUGAGUCAACCUGCCCUUGACCCUGUCCUUUCUCCGCACUGGAGAGAGACUGUAUUCUCAGCACCGCCUGGCAACUCAAAGUCAUCUGGACGCUCGUGACACGGUGCACGACACUGGUUGUUUAUAAAAGAGAUUGACAUAUAGAUUAUAUAUUUCCCUUUCGUUUGUCUUCUUUUCACUGAUAUUACAUAACUCAUAAUAGUCAAUGAACUGCACAUUCGUACGAACUAUUCAAAAGCUCUGUCAUUGCCAAUAUAUUGCCAAUAGUUUCUUGUGAAAAUACUGUAUCAAAGAAACAGCAGCCGAUAACAUCAACACAUCCUACAAAACCCCCCUGUAGUAAUAAUCAUCAGUCAAAUAAAAAACACAUUACAGCUGUGAAGUUUGCAUAUGUGGGAGAUAUUAUUGAAGUCUAGGCUGAGGGCUCUAGCGCUCCCUGAAAUGCCAUGGACAUUGUCCAGUGCAUAGCAUGAAAUGCAGAGAUAGCUUUUAGGCAUUUCUCUUUUAGCAUCAGUUUAAGAGCUGCAUCACUAGCUAAAUUGCCAGAGAAAAAAACUGCUGGCAGAAAGACACUUGAUCUCUGGCCACUCACAGUAUAAAUAAAAAAUCUAUAUUAGAACCCUGCAUUUCUGCUUGGGAGAGGC